AUUGAACGCUGGCGGCAGGCCUAACACAUGCAAGUCGAGCGGUAACAGGAAGAACUUUGCUUCUUUGCGUACGAGUGGCGGGGGGGAGAGAAAUGUGGGGGAACCUGCUAGAUGACGGGGGUAACUUAGGGAAAACGGUAGCUAUUACGGCAUAAAGAUGCAAGAGCAAGGAGGAAGAGUGUCGGACGGCUUUGCAGUCACUGAUCGAUGGAUCCGCGUGGCAUUAGCUAGUUGGUCAGGUAACGGCUUACCAAGGCAACGAUUCCUAGCCGAGCUGAGAGGGUGACCAGCCACACUGGAACUGAGACACGGUCCAGACUCCUACGGGAGGCAGCAGUGGGGAAUCUUGCGCAAUGGGCGAAAGCCUGAUGCAGCCAUGCCGCGUGAAUGAAGAAGGUCUUCGGAUUGUAAAGUACUUUCAGCAGGGAAGAAGGAAGGAAUGUUUAUCUCUGCGCUUAUUGACGUUACCUGCACAAAAAGCCACGGCUAACUACGUG
Molecule: ribosomal RNA, 497 nt
Filed under: uncultured bacterium
Lineage: Bacteria
Description: partial 16S ribosomal RNA
Rfam family: Bacterial small subunit ribosomal RNA
Source: RNAcentral